AUUAUACUCCCUCCGUCAGAAAAUACUUGUCAUCAAAAUGGACAAAAAGGGAUGAAUCUAAAACUAAAAUACAUCUAGAUACAUCCCUUUUAUCCAUUUUGAUGACAAGUAUUUCCGGACGGACGGAGUAUAUA
This is a non-coding RNA of Triticum urartu, 134 nucleotides long. NCBI's taxonomy places the organism in Eukaryota, Viridiplantae, Streptophyta, Magnoliopsida, Poales, Poaceae. The record is from Rfam.